RNAcentral lists this antisense RNA (69 nucleotides) under Amycolatopsis sp. MJM2582. RNAcentral's name for it is "Aspks sRNA". It matches the Rfam family "ASpks TB sRNA". The record is from RNAcentral. Lineage: Bacteria; Bacillati; Actinomycetota; Actinomycetes; Pseudonocardiales; Pseudonocardiaceae.
UUUGAGGGAACCCAGCAGCAGCGGGCGUUGCCGAUCCUGGCCGUAGGUCGCCAACAGCGCCUGCGCCUC